This 207-nucleotide ribosomal RNA is filed under the name uncultured bacterium. Its description in RNAcentral is "partial 16S ribosomal RNA". It matches the Rfam family "Bacterial small subunit ribosomal RNA", at positions 568 to 774 of the family's 1533-position model. The record is from RNAcentral.
AGCGUAGGUGGGCUGGUAAGUCAGUGGUGAAAUCCCCGAGCUUAACUUGGGAACUGCCAUUGAUACUAUCAGUCUUGAAUACCGUGGAGGUCAGCGGAAUAUGUCAUGUAGCGGUGAAAUGCUUAGAUAUGACAUAGAACACCAAUUGCGAAGGCAGCUGGCUACACGAUUAUUGACACUGAGGCUCGAAAGCGUGGGGAUCAAACA